AUUGAACGCUGGCGGCAGGCCUAACACAUGCAAGUCGAGCGGAUGAAGGGAGCUUGCUCCUGGAUUCAGCGGCGGACGGGUGAGUAAUGCCUAGGAAUCUGCCUGGUAGUGGGGGAUAACGUCCGGAAACGGGCGCUAAUACCGCAUACGUCCUGAGAGAGAAAGUAGGGGAUCUUCGGACCUCACGCUAUCAGAUGAGCCUAGGUCGGAUUAGCUAGUUGGUGGGGUAAAGGCCUACCAAGGCGACGAUCCGUAACUGGUCUGAGAGGAUGAUCAGUCACACUGGAACUGAGACACGGUCCAGACUCCUACGGGAGGCAGCAGUGGGGAAUAUUGGACAAUGGGCGAAAGCCUGAUCCAGCCAUGCCGCGUGUGUGAAGAAGGUCUUCGGAUUGUAAAGCACUUUAAGUUGGGAGGAAGGGCAGUAAGUUAAUACCUUGCUGUUUUGACGUUACCAACAGAAUAAGCACCGGCUAACUUCGUG
Molecule: ribosomal RNA, 484 nt
Filed under: uncultured bacterium
Lineage: Bacteria
Description: partial 16S ribosomal RNA
Rfam family: Bacterial small subunit ribosomal RNA
Source: RNAcentral